Molecule: ribosomal RNA, 208 nt
Filed under: uncultured bacterium
Lineage: Bacteria
Description: partial 16S ribosomal RNA
Rfam family: Bacterial small subunit ribosomal RNA
Source: RNAcentral
UGCGCAGGCGGCGGUUCGCGUGGAUAGAUGAAAUCUCCUGGCUUACCUGGGAGGAUGGUAUCCAGACGGGAUCGCUUGAGGGUCGGAGAGGGGCGUGGAAUUCCGGGUGGAGCGGUGAAAUGCGUAGAGAUCCGGAGGAACACCGACGGCGUAGGCAGCGCCCUGGACGACACCUGACGCUGAGGCACGAAAGCUGGGGAGGCAAACA